Long non-coding RNA from Canis lupus familiaris (dog), 3969 nucleotides. RefSeq lists it as uncharacterized. The transcript has 6 exons. NCBI's taxonomy places the organism in Eukaryota, Metazoa, Chordata, Mammalia, Carnivora, Canidae. The record is from RefSeq and is a predicted model, not a curated record.
CCUCGGCCGCUGCGGGCCCGGCUCCGGGGGUUCAUUUUUAAUGAAGAAGCCCUGCUCCCCUCGCGCUCCCUCGCGCUCCCCUCCCGCCUCCUUCCUCCUCCCCGGGGUCUGCAGGGGGAGUGGCCCCUCCUGGCUGUGACCGCCUCUCUCCCCGGUUCUGGGUCUCUGUCUCUGUGUCUCCCCCUCUGCCAAGGUUCCGAUGGCUUCUUUCUUUCUCCUCUCUCGGAGCUCAAAGGGACUGUCUUUUACCAGCACACACACACACACACACACACACACACACACACCCCUCUCCCCUGCAGCCUUGGUAAGGAGCCCAAUAAAAUCCUCAGCACCCCCCCCCCCAAUGCCCCAGAAGCCUUUGUCACUGGCCUGGGAGACCCCCCUCCUUCCUCUGCAAGCCAGAAGCCACAGGGGUCCACAGAGGGUGCAGCCCUGCAGCUCCCCCCCACACACUGGCCUUUCCCCUGAGCCCACUAUGUGCCCAGCCCUGCCUUCCAGGAGCUUCUGGGCCCCUUGGGAAGGCAUGGCCCUGCUCAAAGAGGAAGCCAGACCUGCAGGGGUGGGGGUGCCAGUGCAGUGGGCAGGUGGGCAGGGGGCACCUGCUCCUGCGGGUGGAGAGCAUCUCAGCCCCUGCUGUCCGUCGGCUCCUUCUCCAGCUAGCCAGCCAGCCCAGGGAGCCAGGCCAGCUAGGAGGGAGGGCUGGGGAGGUCUGGGGCUUGGCAGUGAGGGCCCAUGGCUCCGGAGCUGGGCAGGCCUCGAUUCCAGUCCCCAUCCCCCUUUAGGACCCUUCUCCAUGGCUGGUGGGAAUGUCAAGUGGUUCAGCGACUUGGGAAAACAUUUGGCAGCUUUUUAAAAAUUGAAACGUACACUUACCACAGGACAGGCGAUUCCCCUCUAAGGCAUUUAUCCCAGAGCAAUGAAAACUUAGGUCCAUGCAAAGACUUAACGCACGAAUCUUCAUGGAAGCUUCAUGGAAAACUGGAGUUCCAGCAAAACUGGAAAACAACCCAUCGAUAGGCAACUGGCUCAACAGUUUGUGGUACGUCCUGACAUGGAACACGGCUCAGCAGUAAGAAGAAAUGAACUCUUGAGACACGCAACACCAUGGAGGAAUCUCAAGGUCGCGAAUGCAGAGUGAGAGCAGCCAGGCAACAAAGAAUGCAUACUGUGUGAUUCCAUUUAUAGAACAUUCUAGAAAAUGCAGACUAACCUGUAGUGACAAAAAGCAUCUCAGUGGCUGCUGUGGGACAUUGGGGACCAGGAAGUCCCACAAAGGGGCACAAGAGAACUUUUGGAGGACGGUGGAUAUGUUCACCGCCCUGAUAGCAAUGAUGGUUUUCUGGGCAUAUAUAGAUGCCCAAGCCCCUCAAAUUCUGCAGUUAUUGUUAUGUCCAUUAGACCUCCAUAAAUUGAAAAGCCAAAUUCCUGUUGUGUCACUCACCUGCUGUGUGAACUUGGGUGGGUCCCCUCACUCCUCCAAGCCUCACAGAGAGCAGGGGAAUUAUACUGGCAGCCUCACAGGGAUGGUUCUGAGGAUUCAGGAAUAAAAUGUUAACCACUUAGCUCCAUCCAGGGCAAACCAGUGGUGCCCCCACCAGGUCCAAGAGGGGCACGAUGGCCCAGGUGUGCAGCAAGGCCAUGCCAGAGCCUGACGUAGACUCCCUGUCCAGUACUCUUCCCAUGGGGCCAGGCCAGGCUGCAGACCAGUCCCUGGCUCCUUUGCUGCCACCAAGGCUCCCAGGGGAGCUUCCCAGCUUUGUGCUAGGGAAGGGGAGGUAAAGUGCUAUGUUGAGUCCCCCAAGCCUCUGCAGGGAAGGAGGCUCUAGCCUCCAGUGGCUCAGGAUUCCAUGGUCCCUUUGAAGCUGCCUCCCCUAGUGGGAUGGAAGUGUGCCUCCCCGCCUGCAUCCCCUACCCCUGCUCCUGCCCAGGAUGGGAGAGAGCCUGAAGCCACAGCCCUGUCACCACAGAGUCUCCCGACUCCCUCAGAACAGGGCUGAAUAGGCCACACCCAGCAGGCCAGUCACCAUGGCUGUGGUUACAGAGAGGAGCUUAACUGAGAAAAAUCUCACUGGAUACCACUUGCCUUGGCUUCAGAGGCCCAUACAGAUCGCCACGUGUUCUGUGACCAUGGCUACAUCACUGCCCCUCUUUGACCCUCCUCUUCUGGAAACUUCACCUGCCACUGCACUAACCAGCAGCACACUGAUUUCACAAACGCCCUCUGCAUGGUCGUUGCUUUGGGAUGUCCAUUUCUCGGAGGAAGAACCAAGGCCUGCUGAGUCUGGGAGAAGUGUCCACCCUCAGCCAGGUGGUGACAGGUGACCAGCUGGUGGACCAGCAUGAGGAGCUAACAGACUGGGACCUGGUGUAAAUAGCUCAGCCCGGCAUGCCUGACACAUGGGUCCCCCCAAUUCUAAAAGCCUUGGGCCCCACAAACCAGGAUCUGCCGAGGCCCACUUCAUAUGGUUGUUGGAAGACUUAAUGACAAGACAGUGAGCCCCUGGCAAGCCUGGGUCUGGAAACAGAAGCCUCCUCAACUUCCGGAGCCUUGGAAAGAGAACAGACUAGUUCGUUGGACAGGAGCAAAGUUUGUCCCCUGGAAGGCCAGGACUUUCCUGAGAGCUGAGCCCCACUUGGACUCUGACAUCCCCUGGCCCCUAUGACCUCACGACUCCAAACCUCUCCCACCCAGGCUGGAAGCAGAGAGGAGCAGUUCGCAGAUGCUCAGCAAGUCUUCGCAGACUCCGAGCCAGUUGUGCAGCUGGAUGAACCCACGCCCAGAGAUGGAAAGGGGCUCUGCCCAAGUCACACAGCAGCAGCCACCAUCAUCUCGAAUACUAACCCUGUGGAAUCCAUGAAGAUGAAGAAAACCGAGGAAGGCCACGUGGCUGUGCAAACCCUAUGGGCUGCUCGGGCGUGAUUAAGAUUCUGGUCACUCUUGAAGGUGGACAUCUCCUCUUCCAGCUCUCUUUACCCUGUCUCCUGGAGGGUGUCCCAGUUACCACCACCCCACAACAUAGACACACAUCAGCACACAUUCCCCUCACCCCACCCCUGGUCACAGACUACACCACACAAAGGCACAGACCCAAAGGCACACACACUCCAGAUGCCACAGACUGCACACACACAUCCCCCACGCACACCACACAGAUGACUCACAGGUACACCUUACACACCCUGACCACACAGCAUACACACACGUUCACACCCAGACCAUCAACAUGCAUCGAGGCUGUAUUGGGGCCUUGCCUCUGGGCUCUUAAAACUUCUAAUGUUGACCCCCUACCUCCAUCAUGGUAUUUAUGCCCUCACUGAAGGAAGGCCGGGACCCACUUUUUCCUUCCCCCUUCGAGCACAGAAUCUUGCAUCAAGUCUCGUGCAGCCAGUGGUUGGACCCCUGGACAACUCCCUUGGUGACAUUGGUCACCUCCAAUCAAGACCUCCUCAAGUGGGUACACACCUCAUCUCUACCAGGGGCUCUCCUCACUCCCUGUAGAGCUGCUCCUGGCCUGGCCUUCUUACCCACAGCUCAUACUCACCUGGGCUUUGCUCAGCUCCCCUCCCACCCAGGCAACAGCAACUCAAGAGGAAGGGCCAUGUUCGAUCGGUCCUUGUCCUGCAACUGCACCCCCACCAGCCCCAGCCCAGCGCCUCAGGAAUAUUUGGUGAUGUGAACUGGGCCAGAGCCUUAAGGUCUGCGGCCCCAACUUUCCCAUUGGUAAAAUGGGGUAACAUUGAAUGUACUUUACAGAAACUCAGAGAUGUCAUGGUGACUGCCAUUAGCACAGCCAUUCAGGCCCCUGCUGGGCUGAAUUUAUGGCUGAACUGAGCUUUGGUGGAUGCCACCCAUCCCCUAGGUGAAGCCCUUGCCCAGGUGAGCGCCCUGGUCAGUCAUGCCUUUCCUGCAGACUGAGUCUCUGAGGCACUUGGUGCUGAGCCCUCGGAGGUGGGCGGUUUGGCUGG